GCUGGCCUUCUGCUUAUUUUUCAGUCAUGAAUCUGACACGUGUCUUACUGCAUAUAGGCAAUUGUACCCACCCGGAGGGAGACUGUUACCCAGUGGAAUUCCUGGGCCAAUGGCUGGAGGGUUUCCAAGUAAUGCUGUUGAGAUGGGCACUCCUCAAGGAACAUUUCUUGAUGACCUCUCCCCAAGACUAGGUGCGAUGUGACCAGCUGCCUGGUGCCCUGCUGCUGUGACUUCCCACCGUGAGGGACCUGGCUGGUCAAUGAGGCACCAAAACAAACGCUUUCUUCCUGAAGUUGUUUUUGUCAGAGUCUCAUCACAGUAACUAAUGAAGUACAGAACCCGGAAUAUCAACCUGGAUCCUCUGUGAACUUGACCUUCAACUUGCCCUUGAGUCCUUCAUGAGAAACCAGUCCUUUCCUCUCCCUUCUCUACCUCCCUCAAUUUAUUGAAUUUCUUCUAUGUGCUAGGAGCUGGGGACACAGUGGUAACCCAUGAGUCAAACACUGUCUCUCUUCCUUCCAUGAUAAAUUACAGGGUCAGAGAUGAUGUGGUCAGCACUGUGGACUCCAGAGAGUUUUGAGAAUGUGCCCAGAUUUGCCCUGGCCUAGGGUAGUAGUCAGGAGAAUGGCAGUUGCUAUGGGGUCCCCUUCCAGGCUGCUCCCACACCAGCACUGGUUCUGCUUUCUCUAUGGAAGCUCUUUGCCCUGUGCACACUAGCGCCUUCUAGAGAGGGCUUCCUGGGGGGCAGCAUCUGAGGGGGCAACCUUUUUCCUCCAAUUUUUUUCUCCCUCACAACCUCCCCUUUUUAAAAAUAUUUUUUUCCUGAGAUUAGGGGUCAUCCAUAAGGAUCACAAGGUUGUGUGUGAUAGCACUGAGGAGUUACAAGGCAGUAUCCUUUCCUCUAACGGCCAAAGCCAGCACCGAGGCACUAGCCUCUGCUAGCCGAGAGCAGCUGGAUUUCCACCACCGGUAAGUGAUCCAUCAACUGGAUGACUUUGUGCAGUGCCCAACUGUCCAUGUGACUGAAGCAAGCCUGGACAUUCAACUUCUGAACCCAGCUUGAAGAAGGCCAGGGACAGAAGAUAAGAAAAGCCCCACUGAGAAGCCUUGACAAGCAAACUGUUCAGUUUUCCUGUCUCCUAAGGUCACUAUCUGCUUUCAAAUGACCCUUUCAGUGACUGCCAGGAUCUAAUCCCCUUGGUCCCCAGCAUUUUUGAUCUGUGUUCCAAGAGUUGCAGCCCAGGGCCAUGCUGAAGGUUAAUGUGGGAAGAUCAUUCACAGUGAAGCAACAACAUGUUGACCCAUGUGCUCAGGCCAGGGACAAAUAUCUAGGGGCUGCCAGAUCCAGAGACCAAGCAGAUGAAGUGGUGAGGGAGUCUGGAAUGGAUGGCAAAGUCCAGAGUCUGCAGGGUCAUGGCCACUCCCUAGCCUGGGUAUGGUUCCCACACAUGGAUGUCUCCUUGGCUGGCAUUACUUCUUUCUGGGCAUGUGCCUGAUGCAGUUGCAGGGGCUCUGCUGCUUGGAAGGGUAGGGCCCACUCGACUGGUCCUCUGUUGUCUGAGAUUCUUGGUAAUUUUCGGACAAGAGGCUUACACGUGGCCUCCAGUGGAAAGGUCCAGAAAGGCACCCACCUACUCCUGCAGGAUACUUGGAGUUUGUCAUUUCUACCAGGGUUGAAGUGCAUGGGAGUGAAUUCACUUGCCCUUUCUAGUUCCCAGAUGGAGAACUGAGAACUGAAGGGGAGGAAUGCAUCUAAGAUACUGAUUUUUACAUGAGACAAUACCAAAUGUGUGUUUUUAUCUUCGCUUUACAUGACAGGAAACUGAGGUCUGAAGUUCAGCCAGCCUGUGAGGAUGUUUGACGUCACAUUCCCUGAUUUCCAAGGAAUGUCAACUCCUAAGCUGUUUCCUCUCCUGCACUGGGGGCAGGUGCUGGGGACUUUAGGUGAAGAUGCAGUAUGCCUGGCCUGAGCACUGCUUUCUGAUUGCAAAGAUCCCAGGGCAGCUCUGUCCUGCUGCUUUUUGCUGAUGGGCCCUGAGCCUCAGUGUUCUGAAUUGUGAAAUGGGGACGAGGGUAGAUCUCACUUGUGGAUGCUAGUGAAGUUUGCUUUAGGAAAAUGGGUGGAUAAUGUGGCUAUGUGUCAGGCAUGUGGAGUCCAGAAAGCUUCAGGACCAAAGACCAUACGAGGGAGCUCCGGCAGGCAUGGAGGCAGUGGCUGUCCCUGCCAAGUGGCUGCAGAUGCUCUGGGCGGGGAGCAUAGAACUGCAGCUGGGAGACUGUUCUUCUUCCUUCUCUUUUUUCUUCUUGUUUUUUCUUGCAUUUUGUGAAGUGGCAUCUGUCAGUGUUAUAGGUAGGAACACUGCAUGGACUGAGCCCCCUGGAGACUCAGCCCAGAACUCAGAAAGAUGAUGGACGAUGCAGAGUGAAUUGAACACAAUUCUAACAACAGAGCAACGCUGGCACACAGCCUACA
Peromyscus maniculatus bairdii (prairie deer mouse) is the source of this 2473-nucleotide long non-coding RNA. RefSeq lists it as uncharacterized. The record is from RefSeq and is a predicted model, not a curated record. NCBI's taxonomy places the organism in Eukaryota, Metazoa, Chordata, Mammalia, Rodentia, Cricetidae.